Molecule: ribosomal RNA, 253 nt
Filed under: uncultured bacterium
Lineage: Bacteria
Description: partial 16S ribosomal RNA
Rfam family: Bacterial small subunit ribosomal RNA
Source: RNAcentral
UACUGAGGGUGCAAGCAUUAAUCGGAUUUAUUGGGCGUAAAGGGCGCGUAGACGGGAAGAAAAGUCAGACGUGAAAUCCCGGGGCUCACCCCCGGAACUGCGUUUGAAACUCUCUUUCUAGAGGGUAGGCGGAGAAAACAGAAUUCCACGUGUAGCGGUGAAAUGCGUAGAUAUGUGGAAGAAUACCGGUGGCGAAGGCGGUUUUCGAGCUUAUACCUGACGUUGAGGCGCGAAAGCAAGGGGAGCAAACAGG